GCAGAGCAUUAGACCAUAUACAGUAUUAUUGCACUUUUAGGAUCAGUGAUUUUGCCGAUGAGGGAAAAUUUCUUCUUGUUCCUCAUGAACACGUGAAAUUCAUCCGCCGAAACAAGCAAAUCAAAACGAGUUCGCCCAGUGGAGACAGUCAGUGAGGAAUGAAUCCAACUUGAGAAUGUGUUGAACGCAUUUCUGUCACGGGAACCAUUUGUGGAAUUCGGUGUGGAAUUUUAGAGACACACAUUUCAUUCGUGGCUGUCCAGCGCGGUGUCGGCCAUGUUCUUCAUGACGGGCAGAAACUCCGAGGUGAGCAGGGCGUCGUGGCGAUUGACGGCGAGCCGCAGCACCCGGCUGUCCCACAGCUCCACCACCAGACGCAGCUGCCAGAGGGGGAAGGUCUGCAACAGGUCGCCCCGUCGCAGAGCGCCGACCGCCUGAGAGACACCAGUAAAAAACAGGGGAUUUGAAAAGUGUAUAAAACUUUAUUAUGUGCAGAUCAAAUUUUUUGUGACUCUGGGUUUUAAUCACUCAGUGUAUCAAUCAAAAUUAAAAUCAACCAACAGAUACGUUCACAUUUAAUUUGACUAUGUUUACUUAUUUAUUCAUGGGAAAAGUAAUAAAGUAAGGUGAAUCAACAA
This is a long non-coding RNA of Scophthalmus maximus (turbot), 638 nucleotides long. RefSeq lists it as uncharacterized. The record is from RefSeq and is a predicted model, not a curated record. The transcript has 2 exons. NCBI's taxonomy places the organism in Eukaryota, Metazoa, Chordata, Actinopteri, Pleuronectiformes, Scophthalmidae.